GGAUAGCCAAAUUGGUGGAGCAUGUGACUCUGAAUCUCAGUCUCGUGGGUUCGAGCCCCACAUUCGGCA
Podarcis lilfordi (Lilford's wall lizard) is the source of this 69-nucleotide non-coding RNA. The record is from the annotation of a GenBank genome assembly. Lineage: Eukaryota; Metazoa; Chordata; Lepidosauria; Squamata; Lacertidae.